RNAcentral lists this ribosomal RNA (393 nucleotides) under uncultured bacterium. RNAcentral's name for it is "partial 16S ribosomal RNA". It matches the Rfam family "Bacterial small subunit ribosomal RNA", at positions 523 to 918 of the family's 1533-position model. The record is from RNAcentral.
AUACGGAGGAUGCGAGCGUUAUCCGGAUUUAUUGGGUUUAAAGGGAGCGUAGGUGGGAUAUUAAGUCAGCUGUGAAAGUUUGGGGCUCAACCUUAAAAUUGCAGUUGAUACUGGUUUCCUUGAGUACGGUACAGGUGGGCGGAAUUCGUGGGGUAGCGGUGAAAUGCUUAGAUAUCACGAAGAACUCCGAUUGCGAAGGCAGCUCACUAGACUGUUACCGACACUGAUGCUCGAAAGUGUGGGUAUCAAACAGGAUUAGAUACCCUGGCAGUCCACACAGUAAACGAUGAAUACUCGCUGUUUGCGAUAUACAGUAAGCGGCCAAGCGAAAGCAUUAAGUAUUCCACCUGGGGAGUACGCCGGCAACGGUGAAACUCAAAUGAAUCGACGGGG